AGCUUUGUGCAGGGGCAGUAUCACAGUCAAUGAGGUUUAUCCGAGGUGCGCUUAUUGCUAAUUAUUCUCAGAUGAGAGGCAGUAAAAGUAGAAGCUGAUUCUCCAGCACUCUUUUUAAAAAG
Molecule: small nuclear RNA, 122 nt
Filed under: Octodon degus (degu)
Lineage: Eukaryota; Metazoa; Chordata; Mammalia; Rodentia; Octodontidae
Description: U4 spliceosomal RNA (ENSODEG00000025687.1)
Rfam family: U4 spliceosomal RNA (bases 1-64)
About the family: U4 small nuclear RNA (U4 snRNA) is a component of the major U2-dependent spliceosome.
Source: RNAcentral